Molecule: RNA transcript, 3890 nt
Organism: Rhinopithecus roxellana (golden snub-nosed monkey)
Lineage: Eukaryota; Metazoa; Chordata; Mammalia; Primates; Cercopithecidae
Gene: TMC6
Gene name: transmembrane channel like 6
Exons: 20
Source: RefSeq, a predicted model, not a curated record
ACUUGCCAAGAACCAGCUGGGGUAGCCAUCUGAGGACCACACUGGCAGCUGUAAAAGGUCCCAAGCUUCGCCCCUGCCUGGUCCUCGCUUUUGCCUGCCUGCUCUCACCUGCAGCAGCGCCCUGUCCUGCCCUCCUGGGCUCCAGCUCACAUUCACCCUGCCUGUUUCAUGGCCUCUCGCCACCAGGAAUGAUCCUUCCAAAUGGGCUUGGGGUUAGGGGUGCCAUCUCAAAGCCAGUUUCCUCCAUGGAGUUCCCAGGUGGACCACCAAGUCUCCUGCUUUGACUGGGGGCGCCCAGAUUAACCUCUCACAGCCUCAGUUUCCUCAUCUGUGAAAUGAGAGAAUAUCAGUGCAUACCUUCCUGGCUCAUGGGAAAUAACAGAAAACAGGGCAAUGGGUACAGCACCUGGGGACGGUCACGUAUGUGUCAGCAUGUCCUCCUUUUCAUCCCCCUCCUCUCCACACAGCACACAGGAAGUGAGCCAGAACUCUUGCUAGAUAAACAAUGAACCCUGCGCAGGUGUCAGUAGGGGCAGGUAACCAGGCUCCCCAGCGGAGGUCGGGAGAGUCAGCAGGAGGCUUGCGGUGGGAGGGUUGCCUAAUCUGGCGUGAGAGACUGUUCCUGGGGCUUUCAGCGGCAUCUUGGACAAUCCCCAACUAUGGGGAGCAGAUGGGUCUCGAAGUACUGCCCCUUUUUGGAACUUGGGGAAACUGAGCCUCACAAAAAUUGGAUACUUCAACCGGGGACUGGAAUGAAUCCAGACACUCCGCCCGCCGUGGCCCAGCUCAGACCUCAGGAGGAGGGGUCGGAAGUUGGCAGGGGAGGAAGGCACAGUCACCGCGGGGCGCCCGGAGGGGAGCAGGGACGCCGCGGGCGGGGCCGGGUCACGUGAUAACCAAGGCCCGCCCCCCACGUGGGCCGGGAGGUGCGGCUACCCCCAGGCCCCGCCAGAGCUGCGACUGGCCCAGUCGCCCCGUGGGACCCUUUGCCACUCCCUCGGGAAGGAGAGCCGAGCCCUUAGUUCCCGGCGGCCCUUGCGGGGCACAGGUGAGCCGUGGCUGCGCGCGGCCCCUCCCUCCCGGCGCCUCCCAGAUGGGCAGCAGGAAGCUCCGAAGGUGGCGCCCAGGCUCUGAGCUGCCCUAGGUCUGCAGACUAGUGGGCGUUGGCCAGAGACAUGGCCCAGCCGCUGGCCUUCAUCCUCGAUGUCCCUGAGACCCCGGGGGACCAGGGCAGCCAGGAGCCCAGCCCCUACGAUGAAAGCGAAGUGCACCAUUCCUUCCACCAGCUCAUCCAAGAACAGAGCCAGUGGGUGGCCCAGGAGGGGCUGGAGCUGCAGCAGAGAGAGCAGGAGGCCACAGGGAGUGGCCAGCAGACGCUCCGGCGGCCCGAGGGCACCCAGAGCACGGCCACACUCCGCAUCCUGGCCAGCAUGCCCAGCCGCACCAUUGGCCGCAGCCGAGGCGCCAUCAUCUCCCAGUACUACAGCCGCACAGUGCAGCUUCGGCGCAGGAGCAGCCGGCCCCUGCUCGGGAACUUGGUCCUCUCCGCCCGGCCCAGCCUCCGCCUGUACGACCUGGAGCUGGACCCCACAGCCCGGGAGGAGGAGGAGAAGCAGAGCCUCCUGGUGAAGGAGCUCCAGAGCUUGGCGGUGGCACAGCGGGACCACAUGCUUCGAGGGAUGCCCUUAAGCCUGGCUGAGAAACGCAGCCUGCGAGAGAAGAGCAGGACCCCGACGGGGAAGUGGAGGGGCCAGCGGGGCGGCGGCGGGGUCUUCUCCUGCUGUGGCCGGCUCAGAUAUGCCUGCGUGCUGCAGGCCUUGCACAGCCUGGGGCUGGCGCUGCUCUCCGGCCUGCAGGCCCUGACGCCAUGGCGCUAUGCCCUGAAGCGUAUCGGGGGCCAGUUCGGCUCCAGCGUGCUCUCCUACUUCCUCUUCCUCAAGACCCUGCUGGCUUUCAACGCCCUCCUGCUGCUGCUGCUGGUGGCCUUCAUCAUGGGCCCGCAGGUCGCCUUCCUGCCCACCCUGCCAGGCCCUGCCCCCGUCUGCACAGGCCUGGAGCUCCUCACAGGCGCGGGCUGCUUCACCCACACCGUCAUGUUCUAUGGCCACUACAGUAAUGCCACGCUGAACCAGCCAUGUGGCAGCCCCCUGGACGGCAGCCAGUGCACACCCAGGGCGGGCGGCCUGCCCUACAACAUGCCCCUGGCCUACCUCUACACUGUGGGCGCAGGCUUCUUUAUCACCUGCAUCACCCUGGUGUACAGCAUGGCUCACUCUUUCGGGGAGAGCUACCGGGUGGGGAGCACCUCUGGCAUCCAUGCUAUCACCGUCUUCUGCUCCUGGGACUACAAGGUGACGCAGAAGCGGGCCUCCCGCCUCCAGCAGGACAACAUUCGCACCCGGCUGAAGGAGCUGCUGGCUGAGUGGCAGCUGCGGCAGAGCCCCAGGAGCGUGUGCGGGAGGCUGCGGCAGGCGGCUGCGCUGGGGCUUGCAUGGCUGCUGUGUCUGGGGACCGCGCUGGGCUGCGCUGUGGCCGUCCACGUCUUCUCAGAGUUCUUGAUCCAGAGUCCGGAGGCUGCUGGCCAGGAGGCUGCGCUGCUGGUCCUGCCCCUGGUGGUUGGCCUUCUCAACCUGGGAGCCCCCUACCUGUGCCGUGUUCUGGCCGCGCUGGAGCCGCAUGACUCCCCGGUGCUGGAGGUGUACGUGGCCAUCUGCAGGAACCUCAUCCUCAAGCUGGCCAUCCUGGGAACGUUGUGCUACCACUGGCUGGGCCGCAGGGUGGCUGUCCUGCAGGGCCAGUGCUGGGAGGACUUCGUGGGCCAGGAGCUGUACCGGUUCCUGGUGAUGGACUUCGUCCUCAUGCUUCUAGACACGCUUUUUGGGGAACUGGUGUGGAGCAGGAUUAUCUCCGAGAAGAAGCUGAAGAGGCGGCGGAAGCCGGAGUUUGACAUCGCCCGGAAUGUCCUGGAGCUGAUUUAUGGGCAGACUCUGACCUGGCUGGGGGUGCUCUUCUCACCCCUCCUCCCCGCCGUGCAGAUCAUCAAGCUGCUGCUCGUCUUCUACGUCAAGAAGACCAGCCUUCUGGCUAACUGCCAGGCGCCGCGCCAGCCCUGGCUGGCCUCACACAUGAGCACGGUCUUCCUCACGCUGCUCUGCUUCCCCGCCUUCCUGGGCGCUGCCGUCUUCCUCUGCUACGCAGUCUGGCAGGUGAAGCCCUCGAGCACCUGUGGCCCCUUCCGGACCCUGGACAGCAUGUACGAGGCUGGCAGGGUGUGGGUGCGCUACCUGGAGGCGGCGGGCCCCAGGGUCUCCUGGCUGCCCUGGGUGCACCGGUACCUGGUGGAAAACACCUUCUUCGUCUUCCUGGUGUCAGCCCUGUUGCUGGCUGUGAUCUACCUCAACAUCCAGGUGGUGCGGGGCCAGCGGAGGGUCAUCUGCCUGCUCAAGGAGCAGAUCAGCAACUUUGGAACAGGCUGGCUCUGGAUGGGCUUCUCCCCUUUGUGUUCUGGCUUUUCUAGGAGGGGGAAGACAAAAUCUUCUUAAUCAACAAGCUUCACUCCAUCUACGAGAGGAAGGAGAGGGAGGAGAGGAGCAGGGUUGGGACAACCGAGGAGACGGCAGCACCCCCUGCCCUGCUCACAGAGGAACGGGGUGACUAGGGGGAUGGCGAUGGGCCUCAUGGGCCCGCCCAGCACCCUGAGACCACACUGGUGCCUCCCAGUGACCCUGCUGGGACAUCAGGACAAGGAAGACACUGUCUCGCCUCUCGAAAGUCGCAGCUGCGCCUGGGCUGGAGCCAGAAGGGUGGGUGAAUCCAGCUUGGGCAUCCACAGUGAACUCUGCCCUGCCUGGGACUCUGUUUAUUCUGAUUAAAGGGGUUUUGCAGAUGGG